RNAcentral lists this small RNA (969 nucleotides) under uncultured bacterium. Its description in RNAcentral is "bacterial SSU rRNA". The stretch from base 1 to 340 matches the Rfam family "Bacterial small subunit ribosomal RNA", at positions 1195 to 1533 of the family's 1533-position model. The record is from RNAcentral.
AUGCCCCUUACACCCUGGGCUACACACGUACUACAAUGCUACGGACAAAGGGCAGCAAACUCGCGAGAGCUAGCAAAUCCCAUAAACCGUGGCUCAGUUCAGAUCGUAGGCUGCAACUCGCNUACGUGAAGUAGGAAUCGCUAGUAAUCGCAGGUCAGCAUACUGCGGUGAAUACGUUCCCGGGCCUUGUACACACCGCCCGUCACACCAUGGAAGUUGGCCAUGCCCGAAGUCGUUACUCCAACCCUUGUGGAGGAGGACGCCGAAGGUGGGGCUAAUGACUGGGGUGAAGUCGUAACAAGGUAGCCGUACCGGAAGGUGCGGCUGGAUCACCUCCUAACAGGGAGACAACAAAAUGUUAAAUAUUAAUUUUGUCACCUUAGGUCGAUCGGUACCUCACAUUCUUAAUUUUAUUGAGAAUUUUAUUUCCUAAGUUUUUCUAGGUCACACCCAUUACUUUUCCUGGGCCAUUAGCUCAGGUGGUUAGAGCGCACCCCUGAUAAGGGUGAGGUCCCUGGUUCAAGUCCAGGAUGGCCCAUAUCUCUAUGUUGGGGGUAUAGCUCAGUUGGUAGAGCGCCUGCUUUGCAAGCAGGAUGUCAGCGGUUCGAGUCCGCUUACCUCCACUGAUUACCACCUCUUCCAUAUUUAUAGAAGGGAAUUGUUUUAUGUUGUGAUCAAAUUCUGAACGAAUCUAGCUUCCUAAUCAAACUUAUUAAGAUGCUGGACUCAUUGAAUUAAUUUCAUUGUUUUCAGAGAACCUUGACAACUGCAUAGAUUAUUUUUAAAGACAAUAAGCAUCUUUAAUGAUGCAGAUUUUUUAUUUGUGCGAAUGCAUUAAUAACAAUUCUAUUAAGCUGAUGCUUCAAUUUUGAAGUUAUUGGUCAAGCUACAAAGGGCUCACGGAGGAUACCUAGGCACACAGAGGCGAUGAAGGACGUGGUUACCUGCGAUAAGUCUCGGGGAGUGGAA